RNAcentral lists this long non-coding RNA (1036 nucleotides) under Homo sapiens (human). Its description in RNAcentral is "HSALNT0197637". Lineage: Eukaryota; Metazoa; Chordata; Mammalia; Primates; Hominidae. The record is from RNAcentral.
CCACCGGAAGGGUGGGGCAGUGUUGGCUGGGAAAGAAUCUUCCGGAAGUCUGUGUCCUAGAAGUUAUCCCCGCACAAGCCACAGGCGCCUGAGCUCCACAUUUUGGAGAAAAGGAAUGGUUAGAAUCAUGGCAGGAUUGCUGAGGCAGUGAAUUGAAGAGGCUGCGUAGUGCUUGCAACCAGUUACCAUAUUUCCCUGGAGGAAUCACCAGCAACCGACUCUCCCAGGACUUACGAGGUGCUUCCCUUAUCACCAGCCGUCUCAGCACAAGUAGUAGUGGCAGGCACAGUGUGCAUUUUGGGUUACAAGCCAUUGCUUGUUGGACUUCUCUGCCAGCCUCUUUACUCAAUUCUCACCGUCCCGGAGCAGAGAACUUCAUUAGAGAAGUAGUGAGACUUUUUCAGUUUCAAAAAUUUAGGUCAGUGCCAGAUCUUCAGCAUCCUUUGUUUGAAGGCAACAGAAACAGGCUCAGCUGAUUGGUGUCAGUUAUUGGAAGCUCAUGGAAUUGAAGAAAAAAAGCGUGGAAAGUCAAAUAACGUGGAGUCUUCCGUUUCAACUGAAGGAGGGCCAGGGACAAAGCAGGUGAUCUUAGAUGCCCCAGGGACCCAGAAGCCAGGCUCAAAGGCUCAGUCCCCACCCUCCUGAACACAGGCACUCUCAAUCAGCUGGCUGAGUUCCUUGUUUGAAGACACUGGAAGACGGAUUCACUGCAGAGGCCCCUGACAGUGACUGAUUGUCCACUGAGAGGCAGUUGUAUAAGAUCAAUGUCAUUCACAAGAGAAGCAAGGAGAAACACACAGCUUUCUAGACACUGGACCGUUUAGUUGUUACAAGCAUACGUACAUUUUAUAAAACAGUAAUUAUAUUGUAGAUAUGGUUUUUAUCCUCAUAGUUAUUUUUGUACAAUUAUGAAAUGCAAGGUUAUUGCUGAGAGAUUCAUCCAUGCUACAGCCAUUGCAAAUUACAUCUUAUCACUAAGCAGGUGCCCCACCUCCUUAUUUUUUCUUAUUAGUAAAAACAUAUUUGUGAUUUAAAU